CCUACGGGAGGCAGCAGUGGGGAAUAUUGGACAAUGGGCGAACCCUGAUCCAGCCAUGCCGCGUGAGUGAUGAAGGCCUUCGGGUUGUAAAGCUCUUUUGGCGGGGACGAUGAUGACGGUACCCGCAGAAUAAGCCCCGGCUAACUUCGUGCUAGCAGCCGCGGUAAUACGUAGGGUGCAA
This 181-nucleotide ribosomal RNA is filed under the name uncultured bacterium. Its description in RNAcentral is "partial 16S ribosomal RNA". It matches the Rfam family "Bacterial small subunit ribosomal RNA", at positions 338 to 537 of the family's 1533-position model. The record is from RNAcentral.